UGCAGAAGAGCUGAUCAGCUACUUGAUUCUGCUCAGAAUAAGGCAAAGAGGAUCUUUAUGAAAGAGCCUGAGAGCUGGGAGUCCAACCAAAGAGCAAAAUUAGACCAGAAGGAAUAGGGAAUAGCUGGCACUAAGCCUGCCAGACCUGCCUAGAGCUUGGAGCAAUUGUCAUCCUGGCUAUCAAAUAGAAACCACAGCGCCUGAGUCAGAUCUUCAACUGAUGUACAUCAGCAAUGUCUCACUAAUGGAGCUAUCCCCUUUACUACAGCUGAAGUGGCCCUGAUGCCGAAGUGGUUAAACCUCACUGACAGCAAGUUGUGGCUUAAACAACCCAAAAUGAUCUCCAUUAAACACUUAUUUCUGAAGGGGAUGUUGCUGAAACCUGGGAAGGAGGCUUGCAAAUGUUUAACACACUUGUCUGUAGCAGUGGGCUUUGUUUGAAACCAGAUGCACGGAGAUACUUAGCAUUGCUACAUGUGGCAGGAGAGAAUGUGUGCCAAGGUUUGGUUCUCAUCACACCCAGCCUUAAAUUAGGAGUAACUUCAUUAAGUCAUUGGAAUUACACUGGCAUAAGUGAGAUGAGAGGUCGGGCCAAACUGUAUUAUUACUUCCAAUGGGAUUAAAAUAAUGAGGAGCUAAAACAUGUUAGAAGACUCGAGGGAGGAAAAAUGGUAAUACUACGUUCCCGGAAAUGAAACUGGCAUGGGAAAGGCCUGUGCUCUUCAGAAUUUACAAAGGGGUUGUAACAAUUGAUCAUCAUGGAGCUGGGUUAAGAGCCAAAGCAGCCGUCUGUGAGUUUGAACGAGUCUCGGGCAGUUCUAAUAAAAGGCAGAAUGGGCCAUGGGGGGGAAACAAAUGAAAGAAAAUAAGAGCUGGGCUGCAGGCCGGAAUU
Molecule: long non-coding RNA, 892 nt
Organism: Gavialis gangeticus (Gharial)
Lineage: Eukaryota; Metazoa; Chordata; Crocodylia; Gavialidae
Exons: 3
Source: RefSeq, a predicted model, not a curated record